GACGAACGCUGGCGGCGUGCUUAACACAUGCAAGUCGAACGGAAAGGCCCUGCUUUUGUGGGGUGCUCGAGUGGCGAACGGGUGAGUAACACGUGAGUAACCUGCCCUUGACUUUGGGAUAACUUCAGGAAACUGGGGCUAAUACCGGAUAGGAGCUCCUGCUGCAUGGUGGGGGUUGGAAAGUUUCGGCGGUUGGGGAUGGACUCGCGGCUUAUCAGCUUGUUGGUGGGGUAGUGGCUUACCAAGGCUUUGACGGGUAGCCGGCCUGAGAGGGUGACCGGCCACAUUGGGACUGAGAUACGGCCCAGACUCCUACGGGAGGCAGCAGUGGGGAAUAUUGCACAAUGGGCGGAAGCCUGAUGCAGCAACGCCGCGUGCGGGAUGACGGCCUUCGGGUUGUAAACCGCUUUCGCCUGCGACGAAGCGUGAGUGACGGUAAUGGGUAAGGAAGCACCGGCUAACUACGUG
Molecule: ribosomal RNA, 468 nt
Filed under: uncultured bacterium
Lineage: Bacteria
Description: partial 16S ribosomal RNA
Rfam family: Bacterial small subunit ribosomal RNA
Source: RNAcentral